AAAUAUGAGAGUGAUCUGGAUGCAACACACCUGUCUCUCUCUCUAUUGAGUGCAAGCAUUCAUAGGCUGACCUGGCUGGCUAGGCAGAAUCCCCUUCCUACUUCAUCAUUCUCUGUGUGUUCUUUUGGAACAUGUUAGCUAGCUUGGUUUAAUAGAAGGACUUUCCCAGAGAGAAGAGGAACAUGUAUGAGUAACUGUACUUCCCUGCAGAACCUCCAAACAAGUUCUCAGUGUCCAUUUGCAGAAUAUAGGGUAGUCAAGUUUCCAAGACUCCAGGCACAUCCAAAUAAGAUGCUGUGUGUGGCAGUCUGCCCUAAAAA
Molecule: small nuclear RNA, 320 nt
Filed under: Felis catus (domestic cat)
Lineage: Eukaryota; Metazoa; Chordata; Mammalia; Carnivora; Felidae
Description: 7SK RNA
Rfam family: 7SK RNA
About the family: 7SK was discovered as an abundant small nuclear RNA in the mid-70s but a possible function has only recently been suggested. Two independent studies have found that 7SK RNA binds the CDK9/cyclin T complex (known as elongation factor P-TEFb).
Source: Rfam by way of RNAcentral